GACGAACGCUGGCGGCGUGCUUAACACAUGCAAGUCGAACGGAAAGGCCCUGCUUUUGUGGGGUGCUCGAUUGGCGAACGCGUGAGUAACACGUCUGUAACCUGCCCCUGACUCUGGGCCACCUUCACGAAACUGGGGCUAAUUCCGGAUUGGAGCUCCUGCCGCCUGGUGCGGGCUGGUAAGUCUCGGCGGUUGUGGAUAGACUCGCGGCCUAGCAGCUUCUUGGUGGGGUAGUGGCUUAACAAGGCUUUGACGGCCACUCGGCCUGGGAAGAUGACCGGCCACAAUGGGACUGAGAGACGGCCCAAACUCCUACGGGAGGCAGCAGAGAGGAAGAUUGCACAAUAGGCGGAAGCCUAAUGCAGCAACGCCGCGUGCGGGAUGACGGCCUUCGAGUUGUAGGCCGCUUUCACCUGUGACGAAACGUAAGUGACGGUAAUGGGUAAAGAAGCACCGGCUAACUACGUG
Molecule: ribosomal RNA, 468 nt
Filed under: uncultured bacterium
Lineage: Bacteria
Description: partial 16S ribosomal RNA
Rfam family: Bacterial small subunit ribosomal RNA
Source: RNAcentral